UGCCGUCUUUUUCUCAGCUGGUAGAGCAGGAGACUCUUAAUCUCAGGGUUGUGGGUUCGAGUUCCACAUUGGUCA
Podarcis lilfordi (Lilford's wall lizard) is the source of this 75-nucleotide non-coding RNA. Lineage: Eukaryota; Metazoa; Chordata; Lepidosauria; Squamata; Lacertidae. The record is from the annotation of a GenBank genome assembly.